This 464-nucleotide ribosomal RNA is filed under the name uncultured bacterium. Its description in RNAcentral is "partial 16S ribosomal RNA". It matches the Rfam family "Bacterial small subunit ribosomal RNA", at positions 28 to 503 of the family's 1533-position model. The record is from RNAcentral.
GACGAACGCUGGCGGCGUGCUUAACACAUGCAAGUCGAACGGAAAGGCCCUGCUUUUGUGGGGUGCUCGAGUGGCGAACGGGUGAGUAACACGUGAGUAACCUGCCCUUGACUUUGGGAUAACUUCAGGAAACUGGGGCUAAUACCGGAUAGGAGCUCCUGCUGCAUGGUGGGGGUUGGAAAGUUUCGGCGGUUGGGGAUGGACUCGCGGCUUAUCAGCUUGUUGGUGGGGUAGUGGCGUACCAAGGCUUUGACGGGUAGCCGGCCUGAGAGGGUGACCGGCCAAAUUGGGACUGAGAUACGGCCCAGACUCCUACGGGAGGCAGCAGUGGGGAAUAUUGCACAAUGGGCGGAAGCCUGAUGCAGCAACGCCGCGUGCGGGAUGACGGCCUUCGGGUUGUAAACCGCUUUCGCCUGUGACGAAGCGUGAGUGACGGUAAUGGGUAAAGAAGCACCGGCUAACUA